AUUGAACGCUGGCGGCAGGCCUAACACAAGCAAGUCGAGCGAGCGGCGGACGGGUGAGUAAUGUAUGGGGACUGCCCGAUAGAGGGGGAUAACUACUGGAAACGGUGGCUAAUACCGCAUACUAACGGAUAACCCAUAUGGGAUUAGCUAGUAGGUGGGGUAAAGGCUCACGUAGGCGACGAUCGCUAGCUGGUCUGAGAGGAUGAUCAGCCACAAUGGGACUGAGACACGGCCAAGACUCCUACGGAGGCAGCAGUGGGGAAUAUUGCACAAUGGGCGCAAGCCUGAUGCAGACAUGCCGCGUGUAUGAAGAAGGCCUUAGGGUUGUAAAGUACUUUCAGCGGGGAGGCUUUACCCGCAGAAGAAGCACCGGCUAACUCCGUGCCAGCAGCCGCGGUAAUUC
RNAcentral lists this ribosomal RNA (403 nucleotides) under uncultured bacterium. RNAcentral describes it as "partial 16S ribosomal RNA". It matches the Rfam family "Bacterial small subunit ribosomal RNA", at positions 30 to 526 of the family's 1533-position model. The record is from RNAcentral.